This 439-nucleotide ribosomal RNA is filed under the name uncultured bacterium. RNAcentral describes it as "partial 16S ribosomal RNA". It matches the Rfam family "Bacterial small subunit ribosomal RNA", at positions 339 to 795 of the family's 1533-position model. The record is from RNAcentral.
CUACGGGUGGCACCAGUGAGGAAUAUUGCACAAUGGGGGGAACCCUGAUGCAGCAACGCCGCGUGGAGGAUGACGCAUUUCGGUGUGUAAACUCCUUUUAUAUGUCAAGAAAAUGACGGUAGCAUAUGAAUAAGCACCGGCUAACUCCGUGCCAGCAGCCGCGGUAAUACGGGGGGUGCAAGCGUUACUCGGAAUCACUGGGCGUAAAGGACGCGUAGGCGGGUUGGAAAGUCAGGUGUGAAAUCCUACAGCUUAACUGUAGAACUGCACUUGAAACUUCUAAUCUAGAGUAUGGGAGGGGGAGAUGGAAUUAGUGGUGUAGGGGUAACAUCCGUAGAUAUCACUAGGAAUACCUAAAGCGAAGGCGAUCUCCUGGAACAUUACUGACGCUAAGGCGUGAAAGCGUGGGGAGCAAACAGGAUUAGAUACCCCGGUAGUC